Oreochromis niloticus (Nile tilapia) is the source of this 4441-nucleotide long non-coding RNA. NCBI's taxonomy places the organism in Eukaryota, Metazoa, Chordata, Actinopteri, Cichliformes, Cichlidae. The record is from Ensembl.
AUGUUAGGUUUCACCUUACAAGGAGUGAUUUUCAUUGUAAACAGUUACUACAGUUUGAAGGAAGUGAAACAUGUCAACAUACAGACCACAGGCAUGCCUGCAGCAUUUUCCACGAAAUCUCAUUUUGAUCUGUUAUUUCUUUUGAUUUUAUCUUGCCCCAUUUGCCUACAGUCACAUACAGUCCUGUCAGUUAUAACAAUUUUAUACCAAAGUUUUACAAUUUCUAAAAACUUUUUAUUUUUAUCACAUUUUUAUUCAGUGUGCAAUAUAUUGUACAGUAAAGACUCUACAAAAACCCAUACAGACAAACCCCCAACAAGUCUUUUUCAGUAUAUACAGAUACAAAAUAAAAAUAUCACAGUCACCUCCUGAUUUCUUUUUUUGUCGUUUGAUUUUUUUUCCCGUUUUCAGGAAUCUUUAGUUCAGUGUCCAGUGUUGAUUAUUGGAGAGGUCAGCUCAGUCAACUUGUUGCUUAAAGUACAUAGUCUCGAGCACUUAGAACUGUAAAAAUAUACAAAAGAUACAGCAGAACAAAGACUUUUUAAAUUCCGCAUCCAAUUAUGUUAUUCAGUGAAUGAUGCAGUUGCUUAUUGAGCUUUGUUGAUCAUGAGACAGCAUGUUACCUGGCUUCUUACGAUGCUUCAUUUCCCUACACGCAAAGCAGCAUGACACUGCUAUCAGGAGAAGUGCCAGUACACCACAGGCUAUGACCAGGUAAAGACACUUGUCUGCUGAGGGAAGAUCACAGUGAUAACAAUUAGAAAUUUAUUUAAGUGUAAAUUUUGGUAACAGUUUAUUAUUACUAUCGUUAUCUGAAUGUAAAUAUACUGAUGCUUGGGCACAACCCCCACCCACUGGGUACUCUUAAUCCUUUUUUCUUAAGGUGUAGGGUAGUGGGUGGAUGCAUUUUAACUUGAACUCGUUACUCCAGGUUCCUCCACCACCCCACCUGUCUGCCCAUGUGGUCUAUAAAUGUCUAUAAUAUUUAUAGAUGCCACAUGCAGUGUUUUUUAACAACAUAUUUUUUUAAGUUUCUUGCAACUUUAAAAUAGUAAAGUGUUAUCGCUGUUUUUUCAUUUGGCUUUGACUACAGUGGAAAUUCAGCAUAAAUGUCACUGUGUUUGCAACAUAGAAGAUCCCAACAUGAAACAAGUCAAUAUAAAAAAAUAAUGAAUCUUGGACAUCUAUCUCAGCUACCAUUACGCAGUUGGGACUGUUGUAGUCCCAAUUAUCAGGGACUACAACAUCUUGUCCUUUUACUGAAUGAUUCACUAAUUGACCAAGAACUCCAGGUUUUGUUUCUUCAAAGAUCUUUACUUCUUGACAGUUCCUGAUUCACAUUUAUUCUUAUCUUUCAUUACUUUUCAUUUGUUCUGUGAAACACUUAGUUAAGAAAAGUGUUAUGUAGAUAAAGUUUAUUGCUCUGACUGUGAUUAUUUGCUACCCCCACCAAACCACACCAGAGGUGUAGUGUUAGACACUGAAGAAAAACCACACUGACAACUUCUGUUAAACCACCUGUUUCCUGUUACAGAACCACACCUACUACAACACAUCCAUUUCACAGCUUAAUGUGCUCAUAUGGUGCAGCUAAUAAUAAUCAGUGACCAAGUGGAAAGUUUUAGUGUGCCUUUUAAGUUCAGGUGGUAGUUACUGAAAAAUAAAAAGAUAACUAAAUCGUGGUAUGAACAGCUGCCCUUGUGUGGCUAAAAUAACUGACAAUACCAACAGAUACAAAGAUGUUGUAUCAACAAAUAUUCUGUUCAUUCUCCUCAAGAAAUCGAAAACAUUAAAAAACGUGAUACAUUUUCAUGUCUCUGCGUUUUCUCUGUUUAAUCUAUUAUUAGUUGCACAAGUAAUGUGUACUGUGUUUUGCAGUUCUACUCUCACAUGCUUACGUUUCUGAUUAACUUUAUAAUAAUAUCAAAAAUUUAACAUCAUGAGUAAGUUACCUUCGAAAUUCCAGAGUCCCUUGCCUUCAACUUUGCCGUUGUCUUUAACAUUCAGGGUGAAAUAAAUGUUUUUCUGUGCGACUCCAUCUGAAUUAUAGACCUCAAUGCUGUAUUGACCUGAAUCAUUCCUCCUUACAUUUGUGAUCUUGAGUGUCCCGUUCUUGAUUUUAAACUUCAUUCUGUUGUUAAAUUCAUUGUCUAUUGUUAUUUUUUCUUUCUUCAGAUUGAACACAGUUAUGUUCACCUUGGGAAGCACCUUCAAACACUGCAGUUCAUGGCCACUAGCAUCAGUCAUCACUUGGAUAUACACAGUUCCUUCAAGAAAAGGAGAACAUGGACAUGUGCUCAUCCUGAGGUCACAUGUAGUCUCAUCAACUGGAACCAGAGCUGGAAAAGAUUGAUUCAAAAGAACAUGAGUGGAAAAAAUUCACACUACAAAUGUAAAUGUUUGGCAUCUUUGUGAGGAUGAUCUUACCAUGAGUUCCUGCUGCCAAUAGUGCAAGAAUAAGAAACUGCUCCAUGCUUUUCAUCCACCCACGCUGUGGUUUUAAUGUUUUAAAAUGAAUCUAGAAAAUUUUGGACAAAUCCGGGUGUAAAUCUGCUGUGAACCUCAGCCCUAACUGACAGGAAACAGUAAACGGGAGAUGAUAUAGACAGGGUAUUUUCACAGGGGCAGGAAAUAAAGUGACUCACUUUGCUUGCCAACACAAAGAGAACUAAGACAGGCUGCUGUACUGAACUGAUCUUAAGAAAUAUUUACCACAUAUGAACAAAUAUGUUCUCCUCUCUGCUGUAAUCGCAUGUGAAAACCUGAAUCUAAACAACACCAGGAAACUGCAGUCAUGCUUUCAGAACAGUCAGCCACACAUGGUAUGUUGGUUACCACAGAUAGUGUGAGAAAGAGCAAUCUAAAACUAAGUGACAAAUUAAGUCACUGAUAGUCCAGAAGCUUCUGUGAGGAGAACUUUAUUGUUUAACAGUCUUUACAGGGUGUGCAGGACAGAUGUCUUUUUCUGUUUGUAGGUUUGCAUAAGUUUGCUUUCCAAAAAGGAAGAGAAAUGAAAGAUGUAGAGCAAAUAAAAUGCAGACAACCUGGUUAAAAGCACCACGCGAAAAGGAUGCAAAUCUUUGCCACAAUAUGAAACUGUGAGGCAAUGUUCUCCAGAUAACAUUAAAACACACAAUCCUCUUAUCCAUUAAAGGAGGCUGAAUUCAAUAUGAAAAUUCCUGCUACAUGACUCACAAGUAUUUGGGUAAAGAAAACAAAUUCAAAUGAUGCAAAUUUAUAUGUGAAUAAGAAUAAGUUUGUAAUAGCACAACAAAUUUUAAAAAGUAAAUGUCAAAUAGUCCCUAUGAACAUAGUAGCAUUAAACACUGCAGCUCUGCACAGGUGGAAGCAAGCUUUACAAUUCUUCACUUACUCUUAAUUAAGCGUAGUAAGCAAGAGAAGUGAUGGAGAACAUUAACAGAAUAAGAAUCAUCAUAAGGAAAGAAGAAUGUACAUUGCUUACUUACAUUUUAAUGGACGCACACAACAGGACAGGCUAAGGCAGUAACACACAUAUAACCACUAAACUGGAACUGAGAAAACCCAUCUGUGUGAAAAAAAGAACCUACAUGGGUACUUCCUGUAUUAGAGCAGAGAUGGAAGCUACCACUCUUAUAGGGGUGCAGUGAACCUGUGCGAAUAGUACAGGGCUUUUAAACACACUGAAGCUGUUUGUUUUGCAUGUUUCCUCCUACCCUGCUCUAAAAAUAGAAGAAACAGCUAUGUCUGUACAUGCAUGUCCACCAGCAUAUAUGUGCCCGGCUGGGCAUCUCAUCAGUUUUUAUUCUGGCACAAUGAGGCAAACAAGCCUGUUUUUUAAAACAUAUUGCUAUGUUGCUUUGUACUGAUUUUUGCUAAAGUCCUUGCAAUCGUUCAAGCUCAUCGUGAAUAGCUGUGACAAAUGAAGAAGGAAGCCCUCUUCUAAUAUUCAGUGGAACAGGUAGCUGCUAUUAAAAGUAUAGAACAGCACAAAAAGAAGUGUACAGAAACAAAGAAUAUUCUUCAGGUAAAAAUAUGCAAAUACAAUAAUCCAGAGACUAAUGUUUACAAUUAAUGUCACAUUGCCACAGAGGUAGUCAUCAUUUACACUGAUCAAAGCUAGAAAGCUUCUGAUGAUUCCACCUUGUCAUUCUUGUCAAGUACACAGAUUUUGAGUUUGUACAACAGUAAACACACUAGCUUGCACAGUUGCACCUGUAAAAUGGAAUUUGCUCAUGUGUUUUUGAAGCUUAUAAUGUUCACUUUUGCAAAACAAACACUUGUAAUUGAGAUACAAACAAAUUAAUAAUGAAAACAUCACUGGACCCAACCAGUUAUUCUUACAGAAAUCAAACAUGCACCUGCAACUACAGCUCAAUCUUGCAGAAACCAGGCCCAUGAGUGAGAACACAUCUUCAGAUGUUCUCUCAACUAAAAUAGCACCUCUUGAUAAACCAGUGAU